This 21-nucleotide microRNA is filed under the name Gallus gallus (chicken). RNAcentral's name for it is "gga-miR-6653-3p". Lineage: Eukaryota; Metazoa; Chordata; Aves; Galliformes; Phasianidae. The record is from miRBase by way of RNAcentral.
CGCGGGAUGCAGAGCAGGCGC